GAUGAACGCUGGCGGCGUGCCUAAUACAUGCAAGUCGAGCGAACAGACGAGGAGCUUUCUCCUCUGACGUUAGCGGCGGACGGGUGAGUAACACGUGGAUAACCUACCUAUAAGACUGGGAUAACUUCGGGAAACCGGAGCUAAUACCGGAUAACAUGUUGAACCGCAUGGUUCAACAGUGAAAGACGGUCUUGCUGUCACUUAUAGAUGGAUCCGCGCCGCAUUAGCUAGUUGGUAAGGUAACGGCUUACCAAGGCAACGAUGCGUAGCCGACCUGAGAGGGUGAUCGGCCACACUGGAACUGAGACACGGUCCAGACUCCUACGGGAGGCAGCAGUAGGGAAUCUUCCGCAAUGGGCGAAAGCCUGACGGAGCAACGCCGCGUGAGUGAAGAAGGUCUUCGGAUCGUAAAACUCUGUUAUUAGGGAAGAACAAAUGUGUAAGUAACUAUGCACGUCUUGACGGUACCUAAAGAGAAAGCCACGGCUAACUACGUG
RNAcentral lists this ribosomal RNA (497 nucleotides) under uncultured bacterium. Its description in RNAcentral is "partial 16S ribosomal RNA". It matches the Rfam family "Bacterial small subunit ribosomal RNA", at positions 28 to 507 of the family's 1533-position model. The record is from RNAcentral.